RNAcentral lists this ribosomal RNA (251 nucleotides) under uncultured prokaryote. Its description in RNAcentral is "partial 16S rRNA". It matches the Rfam family "Bacterial small subunit ribosomal RNA", at positions 525 to 775 of the family's 1533-position model. The record is from RNAcentral.
ACGGAGGGUGCAAGCGUUACUCGGAAUUACUGGGCGUAAAGGGUACGUAGGCGGUAGUGCAAGUCAGGGGUGAAAUCCCACGGCUCAACUGCGGAAUUGUCUUUGAUACUGCUCAGCUUGAGUGCGGGAGAGGGGAGUGGAAUUCCCGGUGUAGCAGUGAAAUCCGUAGAUAUCGGGAGGAACAUCAGAGGCGAAGGCGGCCACCUGGACUAGUACUGACGCUGAGUUACGAAAGCGAGGGGAGCAAACCG